CGCAGUAUGGCGGGCGGGGCCCGGGAGGUGCUCACACUGCAGUUGGGACAUUUUGCCGGUUUUGUGGGCGCGCACUGGUGGAACCAGCAGGAUGCUGCGCUGGGCCAAGCGACCGAUUCCAAGGAGCCCCUGGGAGAGCUGUGCCCCGACGUCCUGUAUCGUACGGGCCGAACGCUGCACGGCCAGGAGACCUACACGCCGCGACUCAUCCUCAUGGAUCUGAAGGGUAGUUUGAGCUCCCUAAAAGAGGAAGGUGGACUCUACAGGGACAAACAGUUGGAUGCUGCAAUAGCAUGGUGUGUAAUUGAUGUAUGGAUAAGGGUGGGGAUCGUGUGUGUACGCAGAACGCUGGAUAACUCUGAUCAGAGUGCAGUUUCUUUGAUCAAUCUCCAAUCUCUUUCAGGCAGGGGAAGCUCACCACACACAAAGAGGAACUCUAUCCCAAGAACCCUUAUCUCCAGGACUUUCUGAGUGCAGAGGUGAGGGCCUCUGUCCUGAACUUUUUAACCCAGUGCUACAACCCGAGGGUCUCCAU
RNAcentral lists this small RNA (535 nucleotides) under Pongo abelii (Sumatran orangutan). Its description in RNAcentral is "retained intron". The record is from RNAcentral. Lineage: Eukaryota; Metazoa; Chordata; Mammalia; Primates; Hominidae.